GAUGAACGCUGGCGGCGUGCCUAAUACAUGCAAGUCGAGCGAACAGACGAGGAGCUUGCUCCUCUGACGUUAGCGGCGGACGGGUGAGUAACACGUGGAUAACCUACCUAUAAGACUGGGAUAACUUCGGGAAACCGGAGCUAAUACCGGAUAAUAUAUUGAACCGCAUGGUUCAAUAGUGAAAGACGGUUUUGCUGUCACUUAUAGAUGGAUCCGCGCCGCAUUAGCUAGUUGGUAAGGUAACGGCUUACCAAGGCAACGAUGCGUAGCCGACCUGAGAGGGUGAUCGGCCACCCUGGAACUGAGACACGGUCCAGACUCCUACGGGAGGCAGCAGUCGGGAAUCUUCCGCAAUGGGCGAAAGCCUGACGGAGCAACGCCGCGUGAGUGAUGAAGGUCUUCGGAUCGUAAAACUCUGUUAUUAGGGAAGAACAAAUGUGUAAGUAACUAUGCACGUCUUGACGGUACCUAAUCAGAAAGCCACGGCUAACUACGUG
Molecule: ribosomal RNA, 497 nt
Filed under: uncultured bacterium
Lineage: Bacteria
Description: partial 16S ribosomal RNA
Rfam family: Bacterial small subunit ribosomal RNA
Source: RNAcentral